CAGACAGACAAGUGACGAUUGAACAGAUGUGCAGUGGUUACAGAAUAGUUACAUGGAGCUCAUUAUCUGACCACACUGUUGGGCUCAUGGUGAGUGACAAACUUAAGGGAAGUCACUGAUUACAAUGUGGAAUAACACUGAGAUGUUAAAUAAUUUGGAACAAAUUAUGGGAAAAAGUAGGAGUUUAAUGAGUUUAGAAUAAACCUGCAAUGAUACUUGUCUCUGUGAUGCUGAAUACUUUAUUACUCUUAUGAUCUAUAGUUAGUUGCAAAUGUGAAGUUGUUUUAACUUUAAGACUUUGUCUUCUAGGAUACAGGAGCUGGGAGCUAAACAAGCUAAACAUUUAAUUGCUGACUAAUGUUUUUACACAGGGUUACAGCUUGGAGUGAAGCUGCUCCAAGGGGCCAACCCUGGAGAUUGUUUUAGGGAGACUGUGCAACAUUCUUGUACAUGUCUCAUUGGGGAGUUGACACAGGGCGAAAGCCGUGUGGCGAGAGGAGUGUCGUCUUUUUGAUUUGUAGAUGUCGUGAGGUGCCAUGACGAGAAGGAGUGACUCAGAGGAUCGUCCACAAGAUGGAAGCUGAGGCCUGGAGAGAGUCUUCAGGAGGAUCAGAGAUCACCUUCAGCACAGAGAGCUGUGCUACUGGGCUUCCAAAGGAUCGUCACGAGGAGACUUUGCACAGCAAAAUCUUAAAUAAGAUGAAAGAGUUUCGAUGUUGACGUUAAGGAAGACAACUACGGGGUACGACGUGCUCUGCCUUAAAUCUUCAGCAGCAUUGGAAAAUGGAACCUGAGGGAGCGUGCCAAGCUCCAAAAAGUGACAGCGCAGAGGAGGUCCAGCGAUGGACUUGUGGUUCUGUGAACAGCACAAAUGCCAGAGGAGGGCACUUCUCAUGAGAGUAGAGAGCGCGAGGAGAAGAAGUGUAAGCUGAGGGAUGACUUACUAAAUGUGCCACUCAUUGAGGGAAAGGUUUGGUUUGUUGAUGGUUUGAGUUUACAAUAGCAGAGGGACAGACUAGAACAGGUUUUACUGUAGCAGACAGUGAGAGAGAGUUAUCUAUGUAGGACAACUAGCAUGUUUCAUAUUUGCUUGAGCAGCAGAGAUGCUAGCUUUAACGGAAGCGUGUAAAGCUGUAGAGAGACAAUAUACACUGAUAGGCAGUAUGUAUUUGCUACUGUACAUUUCUUUGUAGUGCAGUGAGUGAGACGAGGUGUGACAACCUCUACAGGGAAACCUGUAGAACACACCAAACUCUUGCAAAAUCUGCUGGAGGCAGUGUUAUUACCCAGUAGAAUUGCCGUUUGUAAAUGUGCAGCACACAUGUGAGGGAAAGAUCCAGUUGCAUUAGGGAAAGUUUUUGCAGAUAAGAUCGCAAAAGAGGCAGCUGUAGUUAAACAUGGUGUUAACCUUUUAUCAAUACAACAUCAGCAGACAUGCAGGCCCACUCACCUACAGCAGGAAAACAGUUGUGACUUACAGAGGGAGCGAGCUUAUAGGAUGGUGUUUAUUAUCUGUGGGAUAAACCAGUACUGCCUAAUAAUUUGUAUAAGACUGCUGCUGUUUUGAGCCAUGGGCUAUACCAUGUCUCAAACAGGAGGGAGAUGAGCAGUA
Molecule: long non-coding RNA, 1612 nt
Organism: Astatotilapia calliptera (eastern happy)
Lineage: Eukaryota; Metazoa; Chordata; Actinopteri; Cichliformes; Cichlidae
Source: Ensembl